Castor canadensis (American beaver) is the source of this 1124-nucleotide long non-coding RNA. RefSeq lists it as uncharacterized. The record is from RefSeq and is a predicted model, not a curated record. Lineage: Eukaryota; Metazoa; Chordata; Mammalia; Rodentia; Castoridae.
GGCUGGAGGCGUUGGGAAUCGAUGGGGUGGUGCUGAAGUGUCACCUGCCUGAGAUACCUUGGAGAAACGCAGGAAGUACGGUGUGGCUAUGUCCUUGACUGAAAAGCCGCGCUGCGGACGGCAGCCCUGCCCUUCCAGCUCCCAGAAGUUAGUAGGCAUCCUGUCAGGGCCGAUCUGGUCCUAGGGUGACCGGCCCGAGGGGCAGGGCGUGGCCGCCGACUCCUUGCGGGCGAUUCAAAGUCCCACUCUUGUCGCCCCGACGCGGAGAGGAAAUACAUGAAUGCUGUAGCAGGGCCUCUGCUUUCCCAUGUGAUGAGUGGCAAUUAACAGCUUUGCCAUUUUUGCGGUCACGUGGGAGCCCGGAAGAACUUGAGCUUCGUUCACACCAAGGGAACCCGAGGAUCUGGGAUGGAGACGGGGCGGGAACGCGGUCUCCCGCCUGGUGACCUUGUUCGGGGAAGUCACGUAAAAGUCGGGUGAGCCUCGGUUAUUAGCCGUACAAGAUUAGAAGACAUGACUGCCCCAAAUAGAAGACAUCUGUCAGCCUCCUUUGCAGAGUGACUUGACAUCAUGACUAAUUUUGGACCAUGGGAUGCAAUUAGAGGAGAUGUGUUUAACUUUUGAGUAUCCUUAAAAGAGCAAGUCCUUAUAAGGAGUUCAUUGCUGGCUGGAAUGCAGAUGAAGUGGCUGGAACCUGAAUGACAUCUUGGACCAUGAAGAGGUCUACAGAGAAACAAGAUAGGUGGAGCCUGGAUACCAGCUGCUUGUGGAAGUGCUGGAUAAAACAGCCCUUGGGAAGCAAGGCUGAGAAUGUAAUUCCAGGAGCUGAGGCAGCCAUCUUGCAGCUAUGAGGUGACAAGGAAAAAGACAAAAAUCAUGCUGAGGAGGGCAGAGUGGAAAAAACAGCGUGGUUUCUUGAAGAAAUUGCUGAGCACUGUACCAAGUUAGGAACAUCUAUUUGCAGAUUUGUUGCUAUGACGUGAUGCUUAAGCUUCUGUUGGGUGUCCUGUUUGUCACAACCUGGCAUGAAAGCUUGCCAAGGGCAGAUGACACAGAAAAACAACUGUAAUCCUGUCAGCUCUCCAAUAAGGACAUCGUGCCUAAUAAAAAUAAAUCAAAUUAAA